Vicia villosa (hairy vetch) is the source of this 138-nucleotide small nucleolar RNA. RefSeq annotates it as small nucleolar RNA snoR74. The transcript has a single exon. Lineage: Eukaryota; Viridiplantae; Streptophyta; Magnoliopsida; Fabales; Fabaceae. The record is from RefSeq and is a predicted model, not a curated record.
CAAAAAGCAGUGGUCUGUUUCCUUUACGAGCAGCCUUCUCGUAACUAUCAAGGAUAUAAAACUCAUUGUUUUUGGGUGAACCUAUGGUCUUCUUUGUGAUUCUUUGUGAUUGUCGUUUCAGUAAAUGAUGGAACAAUU